AAAACAUGUCUUCUUGAAAUGAUAUGAAGUCGUGCCUGCCCAAUGAGUAUUUGAAUGGCCGCGGUAUACUGACCGUGCAAAGGUAGCAUAAUCAUUAGUCUCUUAAUUGGAGGCUGGAAUGAAUGGUUUGACGAAACAAUUACUGUCUCUUGAUAAUGGUUUGAAUUUUACUUUUGAGUUAAAAGGCUCAAAUGUUGAUAGGGGACGAGAAGACCCUAUAGAUCUUGAUAAUUUAUAUUAAUUUUUUUGUUUGGAUGGUAUUUAUUGAAUUUUAGUAUAUUGUAUUUGGUUGGGGUGACAAGGGAAUAUAAUAACUUCUUAUUAUUUAACUAUGAUGAUUGGUUAAUUGAUCCUAUAUUAUGGAAUAAAGAUAAAGAUACCUUAGGGAUAACAGCGUAAUGUUAUUGGAGAGUUCUUAUUGAUAAUAAAGAUUGCGACCUCGAUGUUGGAUUAAGAAAAUUAUUAGGUGCAGAAGCUUAAUUUAUUGGUCUGUUCGACCAUUAAAUUCUUACGUGAUCU
This 519-nucleotide ribosomal RNA is filed under the name Teleogryllus sp. KZ-2016. RNAcentral's name for it is "partial 16S ribosomal RNA". It matches the Rfam family "Bacterial large subunit ribosomal RNA", at positions 1810 to 2606 of the family's 2925-position model. Lineage: Eukaryota; Metazoa; Arthropoda; Insecta; Orthoptera; Gryllidae. The record is from RNAcentral.